Passer domesticus (house sparrow) is the source of this 4098-nucleotide long non-coding RNA. RefSeq lists it as uncharacterized. Lineage: Eukaryota; Metazoa; Chordata; Aves; Passeriformes; Passeridae. The transcript has 4 exons. The record is from RefSeq and is a predicted model, not a curated record.
GUCCCACGGAGUUACACCUGCCUCAGAUCCCUGCCAGAGCAGGAGGGAGCUCUAAGAAGUGAGAGCAGGUGGAGGGGUUGGAUUUACAUGACCUUCCAGUUCACUCUCUGUUUGCAGCUGCUCCUUUAGUCCAGGGGAAACAUCCACACAUUUCCAGAGGAGGAAGCAGCAUACACAGGUGUGUUUUCAUGUAAUUUCAAGAGAUUUAUCUGGAACUCUGAAAGUGGAUUUCUGGCUGCUGUGAACAGGCCUGGCCAUACAGUGACUUUAUUAAUUGACUUCAGCAGGGUCUUCACCAGGAAUUGUUUCACUCACACCACCCAAAUCUCAGAAGUCAAAGGCAGGAACAGGGAGGAAGAAGAGCCACUCAAUGUAGGAAAAAAUCAGGCUUGAUAGCACUUGAGGAACCUGAAGAUGAUUGGAAGUCCAUUGGAACUGGUGAGAUGUGCUCAUAGGUUGUCAAAAAACUGGCAGGUGAAAGGGCUAAGCCACCAUCCAUCACAUUUGAGAAACCAUGCCAGACUGGUGAAGCUCUCAACAACAGGAAAAGGGGGAGCAGGUCUGGAUGGAAGCCAUCAGAAGGAGGAACAACCUCUGCUGUGCAGCCAGACUGAGAGAGUUGGGGUUGCUCAGCCUGGAGAAAAGAAACCUCCAGGGUGACCUUAAAGCACCUUCCAGUACCUCAAGGGGUUCUACAAGAGAGUGGUGAGAGCCUUUCCAUGAGGGUAUGUAGUGACAGAACAAGGGGGUUGUGGCUUUCCACUGAGAGUAGAUUUGUGUUCCAUAACAGAAAUAAAUUGUUUACUGUGAGGGUCAGGAGGCACCACAACAGAGAAGCUGUGGCUGCCCCAUCCUUGGUAGGAAAUGAGACCAGGUUGUGUGAGCCUUCACUUGAAGGAAAACUGGAUGCUCACAGCUUCCUUGAAUUUAAAGCACCAAAAAAAAAAAAAAAAAAAAAAAAAGACCCAAAACGAAACAGAAGGAGAACAUAUGUGCCUGACUUCUUAUAGUUACAUAGUAUUUCAUUAACAUUCCCUAAAGCUGAGUGAAGUAAUUAGCACCAGAGUAAGGCACAGAGCCCAGAAAAGCAUUCAGUGUGUGUGUGGAGAGGACAAAGGAGGGGGCUGAACCACUGCCCUCUGAAAGGACUGAGCCCACUGCUUCAGUGGUGCUGCUCACUCACUCUCUCCCUGCUCUCACACCCUGGGGCCUUCUGUUCUCGUUCAAAGAACACAACUUUCAGUGAAAUCAACAUUCAAGGAGGCAGAAUGGAAGAUAAUUUGAACAGUUCAGGACCAUUGUUGCAAGAGGAUGGUAAAGCUACCAUGACAUUAUGGACAAUACUUGUCCUACUGUUUCUAUUUAAGUCCAAAGUGCAGCAUUUUUCUCUCAAGCUGCUUGGGACUUUCAUUUCUGUCUUGCCUCUAGGAAGAAGACCAGUUGAAGGACAUUGGUGACCUAUAAUUUCAAAAUGGUCCAUGUCUAUCAGGUAGUGGGACUCCUAAUUUCAAAUUUGUGAGUGUGUGGGAGACAUAUCCCACUGGACAUGUGUGGCUCAGACACAGUGUCUGCUUCAGACACUAUUGUAAGCAUAUUAAUUCUCUUAAAUAAUGAGGAAAAUUGGACUAGAAAUUUGGACUAGCUUACCAAAAAAAAAGUGUAGCAUUAAUAGAGUAGGAGGUUUCCAAAUGCCUGGACAGGAAGUGAGGGCUCAUCUUGGUGCAAAUCGUCAGGAAUUGGACACCUCGUAUAUCCUGAUGGUUCCACCAAAAAGGAUGCACAGAUCAGUGAGGAAGACCAAUAAAGGUUUGGCAUUUUCUAAGCAUGGCAAAAGAAGGGAGCAAGAAAGAGGUUUUGCCUUCCUGAGCUUGCAGCUCUUCAGCAGUGAAGGCUGUAGCUAAUCAAGGAGUCCCUGGGAGGCAGAUAUAAAAUCCAGAUUCCUCGCACGGUUUCACCCCAGCAUAUCUAACACCCAUUGAUAGUCACGGAUGAGGGGCAGUACACACCAUGCUACCCUUAUAACUCAGAUAUGGAACAAUGUUUAUAAGCUAGGAGUAGCUGUCAAGCCUCUGAAGAAUUCCCAAAUACUCAUAUUCAGGAGGAGGGGGAGGGAACGUCGAUCACUUACACACAAACCAUCGCUGCCCGCCGUGCAGCACAUAAAGAAUCUUUGCAAGUGCUCUAAUCCUCCUUGAGAGACGUGAACAUAAAACCCAAAAUGCGUUCCAUAUGUCCCAGUGUCCGGUUGCUGCCCCAGUUCCAGCUGAGAGCACAAAACAUAGCAACCUUUAUAUUGAUGCUAAACACAUUGCGUCACCCCCAGCGCUGAUAUGUUUUAACGCUAAUACAAUUAAACUUGCUUCAGCAUAAUCCUGGUAAGAUAAACAGUGUUGCUGUCACAAUAAACCCUGUCUCUCAGCAGUGGAAUGGAAGAAAGAUGUGUUAUCCAAAGCAGUGUGAGCAGUGCUGGGAGGACUCGUUCCCUUCUGCUUUUUCUGAGGAGUGUGGUGCAGAUUGGAGUGCAGAUGCAAGUAAAGACAUUUGUGCCUUCUGCACUGGCUAAGGGUGGCAAGCUAAAAACUGCACUCAGGAUCCUUGGACUAAAAAAGAAUUCUAUGUAUGAAGCAUGCUUUCAGAUCACACUUGCAUCUUGUGAAAACCUAGACUGGUGCUCUAGAAGAAAAGGUCUUUUUCUCUCUGCUAGUGUUUUCUUUCCCAUAAAGGACUAAAACUGAUAUCUGAGGGAGAAAGUGAAGUUUGCAGUGACAGUUGGGUGUUACCACCUUCUUCCAAAGACUUCCCACAUUUUUUAAGUAUCUUAACAGCCUGAUCACUUGUAUGAUGUCUUCCAUCUCAUCUCUGAUGACCUUUUAAGGAUCUGGUGGAUGCAUUUUUAAAGUGGCUUGCUUCAAAAUGCAUAAAAGCAAUAUCUAACCACCUUCACAAAACCCCUGAGACAAAACUACAUCUUAUGUAUGUCCAACCUUUAUGUUGAAAGGAGAUGAGAGGGGGUAAAGUGAUGUGCCAGCUCUGGCUCCAGACAUUCCAACCAAGUACCAAAGUUGUUGUUGUCAGGGCAGGGAGACAGAAAUGUAGAGGAAAGAAAUCUGGCCAGAAAUUUUGUUUCACAGGAGGCAUCAUUCAUUAAACUCCAUAGAUUACUUCAUGACACUCAGGUCAUCCAGCAACAUGAAGAAGCUGGGUGAAGGCAUCUCAAAAGACCAAAAGAAUGAUAUGACUUAAUUCCAUCCCCAGCAUCUCACAAGAGCUGAUUCCCAGGCAUCUCACCCUUCUGGAAGCAGAGUUUGGAGGUAUAUUUUUGUAAGCACUGUGAAAGUAUGGACCCAUCUCCAAAGAGUGGCAUAGCAUGUCUCUGUGAAAAGACUUUCAGAAGAACUGUGUUGCUAUUUUUAUAGAGGUGGUUGUAAUCUUGUAGAGGAUAAAAUUAAUUUCUUUGGCCAUACAACAAAGCCUGCAAUGAUUAUUUGCUGAGGAUAACUUGCUGGCUUGCACUGGAGCUCAGCCACUUCCCAGGGACUCUGAGGAGCUCCCCAGCAGCAAGUGGUGGUCACUUCCUUUCCCUGGUCACAACCAAAGCCACUGAAACUCUGGAAGAAAGAUUAAGGGAUGUUUAUGUCUCCAAAUCUCUCAUUGCAAGCUCAUCUAGACCAUGGGGAAAUGCACUGGAACCAGAGGCUGCAUGUUGCUCUUGCCCAAGAGGUUCAUCUCUGUCAUUUAUUUGGUUUAUUUUUUGAGAAUCAGGACCUUUGAGACCUUUGAGAGGAAGGCAGUGUUUAUUUUAAACAUUUUCAGCUGCAUGUAGCUCCAGAGGUCCAGUGGAACCUUUCAAAUCAGUCUUGAGGUGAAAGACAAGACAGGGUCCCACUCCUUGACCCUCCAGGACAAGAUAAUUGAGUUUUCCUCACUAAUUAUAACUCACUAAUAUUUUUCACUAUUAUUAUAGUGGAAAACUGUUAUUAUAGUCACUAUUAAAUAUAAUAUUCACUAUUUUCCUCAGUAACAAUAACUCAAGGCAAUUGUGUUUUCCUACCUGCAAAGGGGAGCAAACAUAAUUAACCUCUUUAGUUAAGUGACUGC